RNAcentral lists this transfer RNA (72 nucleotides) under Lysiloma tergeminum. RNAcentral's name for it is "partial tRNA-His". The record is from RNAcentral. Lineage: Eukaryota; Viridiplantae; Streptophyta; Magnoliopsida; Fabales; Fabaceae.
AUGGAAAUCUCUGUAAUCUUUAGAUAUAUAGGGGCGGAUGUAGCCAAGUGGAUCAAGGCNGUGGAUUUGUGA